GAAUAUUGGACAAUGGGCGAAAGCCUGAUCCAGUCAUGCCGCGUGUGUGAAGAAGGUCUUCGGAUUGUAAAGCACUUUAAGUUGGGAGGAAGGGUUGUAGAUUAAUACUCUGCAAUUUUGACGUUACCGACAGAAUAAGCACCGGCUAACUUCGUGCCAGCAGCCGCGGUAAUACGACGGGUGCAAGCGUUAAUCGGAAUUACUGGGCGUAAAGCGCGCGUAGGUGGUUUGUUAAGUUGGAAGUGAAAGCCCCGGGCUCAACCUGGGAACUGCUUUCAAAACUGGCAAGCUAGAGUAUGGCAGAGGGUGGUGGAAUUUCCUGUGUAGCGGUGAAAUGCGUAGAGAUCGGGAGGAACAUCCAUGGCGAAGGCAGCUACCUGGACCAACACUGACACUGAGGCACGAAAGCGUGGGGAGCAAACAGG
This 425-nucleotide ribosomal RNA is filed under the name uncultured bacterium. RNAcentral's name for it is "bacterial SSU rRNA". It matches the Rfam family "Bacterial small subunit ribosomal RNA", at positions 359 to 776 of the family's 1533-position model. The record is from RNAcentral.